Molecule: RNA transcript, 2869 nt
Organism: Nyctereutes procyonoides (raccoon dog)
Lineage: Eukaryota; Metazoa; Chordata; Mammalia; Carnivora; Canidae
Gene: GFM2
Gene name: GTP dependent ribosome recycling factor mitochondrial 2
Exons: 22
Source: RefSeq, a predicted model, not a curated record
GCGCGGCGGCCGGAAGCGGCGGCUCCGAGGCCCUGGGUCCUGCGGGUGGCGGGGCGUUCGCGCAGGUGGCGUGUCCCGCGGGAGGAAGCCGGCCUCCGAGCGACCUGGUGCCGGCUUUCAACACGUUUACUAGGAGGCAGUGAUAGGACAGAGUAACGACGAAUUCUUGUUGAAGAAUAACAGUUUAGAGGGUCAACAUGUUGUCCAACUUGAGGAAGUUUGGAGUAAAUAAUAAGAAAAUACCCAUCCUGAACAUAAAUAAUAUGCCUUGCUCUAAAAUAAGAGCAAGUUUGAAAAGAUUAAAGCUGUAUGUGCUUCCUGGAAGAAAUUACAGUUCUCUACCAGGUUUAGUUGGAAAUGAUAUCAAAUCUCUUCAUUCUAUCAUCAGUCCUCCCAUAGCUAAAAUCCGUAAUAUUGGAAUUAUGGCUCAUAUUGAUGCAGGGAAAACGACCACGACAGAAAGAAUAUUGUACUAUUCUGGAUACACAAGAUCACUGGGAGAUGUUGAUGAUGGAGACACGGUGACAGAUUUUAUGGCUCAAGAGCGAGAAAGAGGCAUUACUAUUCAAUCUGCUGCUGUUACCUUUGAUUGGAAGGGGUAUAGAGUCAAUCUAAUUGAUACUCCAGGUCAUGUGGACUUUACCUUGGAAGUUGAGCGCUGCCUUAGAGUGUUGGAUGGUGCAGUAGCUGUGUUUGAUGCUUCUGCUGGUGUAGAGGCACAAACUCUCACAGUAUGGAGGCAAGCUGAUAAACACAAGGUACCUCGAAUCUGUUUUUUAAACAAAAUGGACAAAACUGGAGCAAGUUUUAAGUAUGCAGUUGAAAGCAUCAGAGAGAAGUUGAAGGCAAAGCCUUUGCUUUUACAGUUACCACUUGGUGAAGGCAAAGCUUUUGAAGGAGUUGUAGAUGUUGUAAGUAAAGAAAAACUUGUUUGGAAUCGCAAAUCAGAGGAUGGAAAAGACUUUGAGAGGAAACCUCUCUUGGAAAUGAGUGAUGCUAAACUGUUGAAGGAGACAACGGAAGCAAGGAAUGCCUUAAUUGAACAGGUUGCAGAUUUGGAUGAUGAAUUUGCUGACUUGGUUUUAGGAGAAUUUAGUGAAAAUUUUGAUUUGCUACCAGCUGAAAAGCUACAGACUGCAAUACACAGAGUAACCCUGGCUCAGACAGCAGUGCCUGUGCUUUGUGGAAGUGCCCUGAAAAACAAAGGGGUCCAGCCCUUGUUAGAUGCUAUUACUAUGUACUUGCCUUCACCCGAAGAGCGCAACUAUGAAUUUCUGCAGUGGUAUAAGGGUGACUUAUGUGCCCUGUCAUUUAAAGUUCUUCAUGACAAGCAGCGAGGACCACUGGUGUUUAUGCGCAUUUACUCUGGCACGAUAAAACCCCAGUCGGCCAUCUAUAAUAUUAAUGGAAACUGCACGGAGAGAAUAAGCCGUCUUCUUUUGCCAUUUGCUGACCAACAUAUAGAAAUCCCUUCACUGACCGCUGGUAAUAUUGCUUUGACAGUUGGCCUUAAACAUACAGCCACUGGAGACACCAUUGCCUCAUCCAAGUCCAGUGCAUUAGCUGCAGCUCGUCGAGCCGAAAGGGAAGGAGAAAAGAAGCAUAGGCAAAACAGUGAGGCAGAGAGACUUUUACUGGCUGGGGUGGAGAUUCCAGAACCUGUUUUCUUCUGUACCAUAGAGCCUCCAUCAGUGGCUAAGCAGCCAGAUUUGGAUUAUGCAUUGAAAUGCCUUCAGCGUGAAGAUCCCAGUUUGAAAGUGAAGCUAGAUCCUGACUCUGGACAGACCAUCCUAUGUGGUAUGGGGGAGUUACAUAUUGAGAUUAUUCAUGACCGAAUCAAGAGGGAAUAUGGACUGGAAACCUAUUUAGGGCCUCUCCAGGUAGCAUACCGAGAAACCAUCCUAAAUGUAGUUCAUGCCACAGAUACCUUAGAUAGAACUUUAGGAGACAAACGACAUCUUGUGACUGUAGAACUGGAAGUAAAACCAAAUGAAACGUGCUGUGUUACGCCAGUCCUCAAGUAUGCUGGAUGUGUUAGUGAAGACCUUCCAGAGGCCUCCCAAGAGGCCAUUGAAAAUGGAAUUCACAGUGCGUGCCUCCAAGGACCGUUGCUUGGAUCCCCAAUUCAAGAUGUGGCAAUUACUUUACAUUCCCUGAUAAUCCAUCCUGGUACCUCCACAACUAUGAUUUCCGCCUGUGUCUCAAGAUGUGUACAAAAGAUCUUAUUUUUUUUAUUUGAGAGAGAAUGCAAGAAUGAGCAAGGGGGAGGAACAGAGGCAGAGGGAGAAGCCGACUCCCCGCUGAGCAGGGAGCCCAGUGUGGGACUUGAUUACAGAACCCUGGGAUCAUGACCUGAGCUGAAGGCAGACGCUUCACUAACUGACCCACCAAGGUGCCCCUUAAUGUCUCUGUGUGUUCAGCAUGGGAGCCAGUAGCCUCAUCCAGCUGUUGAACACGUGAAAUGUGGCUGAUCUAACUCCCUGAAUUAUAGCCCCAUGCGGCUGCGCCUAUCCUACUGGACAUCACAGGAAGUAAAAGAAAUGUUCCUGGAGUUGACCAAAGGGAACGAAUUCCACAGGUUGGACGGUAAUAAAGACUUCCGAGGGAAGCCAGGGCUUCACACUGAAAUCUCUGAGCAGCUGAGUGCUACCCUCCGACACUUCCUGCAAGCCUUAGUCAUCAUUGCAUUGCUUCAAAGAAAGCCAUGGAUACUAUUUUCUUUUGAUGAUUUUUCACUGACACUGUGUAUAACAAAGUAUAACAGUAUCUACACUUGGACAAGGAGUGGAGAGAAAAUGAAACAAGCACUACAUAGUUAAAAGUUUUACAAAAGGCACAGAUCAAAUAAAAUAGAAGUUGGCUAACAAAA